GCCUUCGGCAUCAUAGUAGCCUCAGGGCACCCUAGCCCAGAAGCUAAGCAGAGUCAGGACUGACUGGGGCUUGGAUGGGGGACCACCUGGAGAGACCAGGAGCUGGAGGCU
RNAcentral lists this ribosomal RNA (111 nucleotides) under Cebus imitator (Panamanian white-faced capuchin). Lineage: Eukaryota; Metazoa; Chordata; Mammalia; Primates; Cebidae. The record is from RNAcentral.